CUAAAUGAGGGAGAAGCAAACGGAAAAUUUUGUGGUUGUUCAUCCACAAAGUUUAUUGUGGGACAGACAGGCACAGUUUACAAGAUCCUUGCAGGGUUGCAGGACAAUUCUUGUCUUCAGGGAACUAAUAUUUUAAUUGGAAAGACACCUAAGAACAUAAGACAAAAUCAAAUAUGUUUCAAGAGAGAGAUAUACAAAGUAUUGUGUGUAGGAGUGUGGAAAAGAAACUUUUUUCUGACAGCUUGGCAAACAGUUGGAAAGACUUCUUAAUUGUUAAUGUCACGUCUGUUUUGAUCUACUCAGUAAGAACACUUGACACCUGUCUGCCAAAAUUAAUGUUUAUUAGGACUGAAUAUUUGAAGACUUUCAGGUCAGUGAGCUGAAGGAUCUGCUACCAUAUUCUCCAAUGCUGUUGGUAGAAAUGAAAAUUGAUAAAACAAAAAAAGUUUUUGGAAAGCGAAUGAAUGACAUAGAUCAGACUUCUGGGAAUUCGUCUACUCUACUGGUAAUUGUGAAUGCUGUAUCCCCAUGCGUGCUUGUGCUCAGUCACUCAGUUGUGUCCAGCUCUGCAACCCUAUGGAUCAUACACAGCCUGCCAGGCUCCUCUGUCCACAGGAUUUUCCCAGGCAAAAAUACUGGAGUGGGUUGCCAUUCCCUUCUCCAGGGGAUCUUCCUCAUCCAGAGAUCAACCAGGGUCUCCUGUAUUGUAGGCGGAUUCUUUACCAUCUGAACGACCGGGGAGGCCCCAAAGCAUUACCCCAUGGACUGUAGCCAUGGACAGGCUCCUCUGUCCAUGGGAUUCUCCAGGCAAGAAUACCGGAGUGGGUAGCCAUUUCAUCCUCCAAGGGAUCUUCCCAACCCAGGGAUCAAACCCACAUCUCCUGCACUGCAGGCAGAUUCUUUCCCACUAGUGCUACCAGGGAAGGCCUUGUAUCCCCAUAGUUGUACAGAAAUCCUUUUUCUUUUCAGAUGCCAGUGUGAGCCUGACAGUCUCCUUGGUAAUAAUUCUCACAGCCCAAAAUCUUCUAGAGUGCAGUAUAAACUUCUUUCCUCUUGUCCUGUCAUUUGCGGAGAUGGAAAACAACCGAUGUCUUUCAUAUAAUGACCCUUCCAAUCUGUUAGACCUUUAUUCUCUAAGCUAAAUAACCCCACAGCUCUGUGGCCUUUGCUCUCAGCCCUGUUUCCCAAGCCUUAAUUACAUUUUUGCUCUUCUCUGGAGUUCUUCCAGUUCCCCACAUCCUCCUUAAAGGGGAGACACAGAGUGGCCACAGUUGGGGUCAGACCAGCACAGGGAAAAGCUAACAGGCCACUUCCUGCCCUUGGCCUUCCCUAGGUCCCACUAUCUCAUUGGUUCUAUAAAUAAAACAGCACUCAUUCAUCUAGUUCUAUGAAGG
Molecule: long non-coding RNA, 1394 nt
Filed under: Bos indicus x Bos taurus (hybrid cattle)
Lineage: Eukaryota; Metazoa; Chordata; Mammalia; Artiodactyla; Bovidae
Description: lncRNA (ENSBIXG00005031592.1)
Source: RNAcentral